This 253-nucleotide unclassified non-coding RNA is filed under the name air metagenome. RNAcentral describes it as "partial contains small subunit ribosomal RNA, internal transcribed spacer 1, and 5.8S ribosomal RNA". The stretch from base 1 to 46 matches the Rfam family "Eukaryotic small subunit ribosomal RNA", at positions 1786 to 1831 of the family's 1831-position model. The record is from RNAcentral.
AAGUCGUAACAAGGUCUCCGUUGGUGAACCAGCGGAGGGAUCAUUAUCGAGUUUCGUACUCCAAACCCUUUGUGAACAUACCUGUUUUCGUUGCUUCGGCAGGCCGGGGGGCAACCCCCGCCCGCCGCCGGAACCCCUCUCGGGGGCGUGCCGGCGGGCCUGCCGGAGGGCACAGACUCUGUAUUAAAACGUACCUCUCUGAGUUAUCUUUACAAAUAAGUAAAAACUUUCAACAACGGAUCUCUUGGUUCUG